CCUACGGGUGGCAGCAGUGGGGAAUAUUGCACAAUGGGGGAAACCCUGAUGCAGCGACGCCGCGUGAGUGAAUAAGUACUUCGGGAUGUAAAGCUCUAUCAGCGGGGACGAAAAUUACCGGAACCGACAGAGAAAGCACGGCUAACUACGGUCCAGCAGCCGCCGUAAUUCGGAGGGGGCAAGCGUUGGCCGGGUUUAUUGGGGGUAAAGGGUGCGUAGGCGGCAGUUGAAGUCUGGUGUGAAAGGCCGGAGCUCAACCUCCGUACGGCACUGGAUACUGGAAGGCUGGAGUGCGGGAGAGGUAAGGGGAAUUCCUGGUGUAGCGGUGAAAUGCGUAGAUAUCAGGAGGAACACCAGUGGCGAAGGCGCGUUACUGGACCGUAACUGACGCUGAGGAACGAAAGCCUGGGGAGCAAAUGGGAUUAGAUACCCUUGUAGUC
Molecule: ribosomal RNA, 440 nt
Filed under: uncultured bacterium
Lineage: Bacteria
Description: partial 16S ribosomal RNA
Rfam family: Bacterial small subunit ribosomal RNA
Source: RNAcentral